Labeo rohita (rohu) is the source of this 374-nucleotide long non-coding RNA. RefSeq lists it as uncharacterized. The transcript is spliced from 4 exons. The record is from RefSeq and is a predicted model, not a curated record. Lineage: Eukaryota; Metazoa; Chordata; Actinopteri; Cypriniformes; Cyprinidae.
CCUGCUUUUUCUGUCUGCACAGCUGUUAGUUGCGUAGCGCAUGUGAUAGUUGCCUGGUCAUUUAUUAAUGGCUCUACUAGAAGUUACCUUUUCCAGUCUGAGUGGAAAUUUUUGGUCACAGACUUGCAAGGACACUGCCUGUAUGAGCAGAAAGCUUACAGUCCAAGCGGUGGCUUUUUGCAUCCUUUUCUGGAGUGAAUGGUUCUCAGUGCCGCCUGGUGCACUUCUUCCACGAAAUAAAGUUACAGGUGGAACAUGAAGCAGCGGUCUGAAAUUUGCAUCUCCACCGGCAGCCCUUGCACCGGUACAAGAAUCGGCCAUUUCGAUGAAAAGGUGUUCUUGCUUAUUAAUAAAUAUUCGCCUUUUGAUUGUUA